Molecule: ribosomal RNA, 549 nt
Filed under: uncultured bacterium
Lineage: Bacteria
Description: bacterial SSU rRNA
Rfam family: Bacterial small subunit ribosomal RNA
Source: RNAcentral
UAGGGAAUCUUCGGCAAUGGACGGAAGUCUGACCGAGCAACGCCGCGUGAGUGAAGAAGGUUUUCGGAUCGUAAAGCUCUGUUGUAAGAGAAGAACGAGUGUGAGAGUGGAAAGUUCACACUGUGACGGUAUCUUACCGGAAAGGGACGGCUAACUACGUGCCAGCAGCCGCGGUAAUACGUAGGUCCCGAGCGUUGUCCGGAUUUAUUGGGCGUAAAGCGAGCGCAGGCGGUUAGAUAAGUCUGAAGUUAAAGGCUGUGGCUUAACCAUAGUAGGCUUUGGAAACUGUUUAACUUGAGUGCAAGAGGGGAGAGUGGAAUUCCAUGUGUAGCGGUGAAAUGCGUAGAUAUAUGGAGGAACACCGGUGGCGAAAGCGGCUCUCUGGCUUGUAACUGACGCUGAGGCUUGAAAGCGUGGGGAGCAAACAGGAUUAGAUACCCUGGUAGUCCACGCUGUAAACGAUGAGUGCUAGGUGUUAGACCCUUUCCGGGGUUUAGUGCCGUAGCUAACGCAUUAAGCACUCCGCCUGGGGAGUACGACCGCAAGGUU